RNAcentral lists this long non-coding RNA (2452 nucleotides) under Canis lupus familiaris (dog). RNAcentral's name for it is "lncRNA (ENSCAFG00040023101.1)". The record is from RNAcentral. Lineage: Eukaryota; Metazoa; Chordata; Mammalia; Carnivora; Canidae.
GAAACUCCUCACUAUGGGCUCCUCAUGUAACCGUGCCAACCAGCUGGCCCAGGUUCUGUGCAGAGUGUAUGAUAUGUGGGUCCAGAGCAUGCAGAGGAGAGUGAAUUCAGAAGAAAAAUAAAACCAAGCAAUUCAUAACGGGUCAUGGAAAGAAACUCAGACACUAACAUAUUAUUUAGUUUUUGCAAAAUCAUGCAUUAUAGACUUCCCUGACCUGUCUCCCAGUGCUACUCCCUGUGGAUGUUUCCUAGAAUCACCUCCCUAGCGUGACUUGCAUGAAACCUGCUCAGACUUUGCUUUAGGAAAGACUGAAGUAAAAAGCAGAAGCAGACUAAGACUCACAGAGAUCCAUAAUUUACUCGUUUUAAGCUUUGGUUGGCUUUACAUAUGUAUUUCCAUUCUAGAUGUUACCCAAAGUAAAAAAAAAAAAAAAAAAAAAAUGUAGCUAACAACCAAAGUAUCAUCAUUCCUUUUUUUUUUUUUUUCAGCAUAUUAGCCUCAGUUCUGCAGCCCAUCAUAGUCCUGAAUGUGAAGCCGUGAGCCAUGAAUAGGAGAGAAAACUAGCGUAAAACCUAGUUUAUUUUGCUGUUUUUCACACCUGGAUAGAGAAUGAGUCCACAUGAGUUUGAAGCUGAAUUGUCAACAUCGGAUACUUGGGGAAUUAUGGAAAAGACCUGCUUGCUUCAGGUGAAAGAGUCAUUUGAAAGAAGGAUUUUCAUCUCUCCAGAAGAUAUAUUGCACGGUGAUUUGCUGGCCAAACAAGCUGCUCUUCUCAAAGGUAAUAUCCUACAGGUUUACCUCACACAGACACUGCUCUGUUGGAACUGCCUGAUGGUAGCUUACAAAAAGUGGUGCCACCUUCCAGGAAUCCACAAGGGAAGCAGAGCAGGAAACGAGUAGAGAAGCAAGGAGCCGACUCAGCAUCAGCCUCUGAGUUGGGCAACUUAUCAGUUAUAAAAUAAAAAGACUCAAAUGUGAGAUGAGAAACGGUAUACGAUGUUCAAGGGAAUGAGAGGACACUCAAGUAAUGGGAGUUAAAUGAGAAGGAUCGAAACAAGAGGAGCUUGCAAGUGUGUCACCUAGAACUGCAGUGACUACUGACUUGUCUGCCUGAAUUACAAGUAAGAUAUAUUUAUUUUGAUCAGAUUUAAAGAUUUAUAUGUACUAGUUUGAAAUGAUUUUCCCACAAUUAUUGCUUAAUGAAAUAAUGUGUUUGAUAGAUGCUGUAUUCGAUGUAUCCUGCAUUUGAGCCUCUAAACAAAACAACGUAAUAAAUAAAUAUUGUUUAUGCUGCUCAAAUAUAUUAAUUCAUGGAAUAUAAGUAUCUGUGAUAUUAAUGGAUUCUAUAAGGGUGAUGAAUAGGACUUAUCACAGUACAAUGAAUUCUCUCCUCGCCAUUUCUUAUAUCUCUAAUCGUGCAGGGCCCUCUAAAGAUCAAAAUGGUGAGAAAAAAGGAGAGAAACAAAGAUAUUUCAGAUUUAAUUAGGGAUGAGUCUGUAUAAAGUAUUAAUUUACUCCUGCUCCUGAACUCUCCACCAGCAGUGUUGAUUUUCAACUCAAACCGAUGAUGAUUGCAAAUAAGACCCCUAAGUGUUCCUAAUUCUGCUCUUAAUAAUAGAUGACAAAGCCUUCUGUCAUUGGACAUCGAAAUUUACUUGUUUGGGGUUUUCCAAUGAUUGAAUUUUCAUAUGAGGAUAUAACUCAUAUUCCAUAAACCACAGCUGUAGGGCAGGAGCCUUUACAUCAGGCUGCACCCCAUUUACAGCAAAAGUAAAAGUCUGAAUUUCACUAAUGCGAAAGAUAGCGAACCAUACGGCUUGUGGUAUUGGGCUACAGAUCCCCUCGUCAAAAUAAAGAGUUGUAUCAAGAAAAUUGCAAUUCUUGUAAGUCUGAAAUUCAGGUUGUUUUAUUAAUAAGAAACAAUUGCAGUUGGUGUAUCUUUAGUUAGAAAGUCCACAACAAAAUUAAGGUAAAAUAAACUAUCAAGUCAGCCAAAAAUUAGUAUUAAGGCGCGUAGUUAAGAAGAUGAUAAUGUGAAAUGGUUAUAUCUUUAUAAGAGAAUGAAUAGGGCUUAGAAACGCUAUUUUAUGGAGUUAGAAACACUCCAUAAAUAUGUAUUACUGAUCUAAAUAUUUAGGCAAAAUUGAUGAAUAGUUUAUCUAAAUUUUCUCAUUAAAAAUGCUUUGUUUUGCUACCAUAGUGGUUGGUAAAGCACUCUAUUAUUUUCUUUGAAUCUGAUCCCUGUAGUACUAUCUAUGUUUUGGUGUGGAAUCUGAUUUAAAUGUAUGCUCAAUUUCUUUGUUCCCAAAUAUCAGUUCUAUGCCGAACGCUUUCACAAUUGUUCAAACUUCAUAUUACCUCGGCCUUAAUUUAUUUUCUUUAUAUCCACUUAUUAGUCUAUGUAAUAUGUUUUGUUUAAAAGGCAAUAAUAUCAUGGCAAAAAGAAAACCGG